CUACGGGAUGCUCCAGUGGGGAAUAUUGCACAAUGGAGGAAACUCUGAUGCAGCAACGCCGCGUGGAGGAUGACACUUUUCGGAGCGUAAACUCCUUUUAUAUAGGAAGAAGAUGACGGUACUAUAUGAAUAAGCGCCGGCUAACUCCGUGCCAGCAGGCCGCGGGUAAUACGGAGGGCGCAAGCGUUACUCGGAAUCACUGGGCGUAAAGAGCGUGUAGGCGGAUUAAAAAGUCAGAAGUGAAAUCCUAUAGCUUAACUAUAGAACUGCUUCUGAAACUCUUAAUCUAGAAUAUGGGAGAGGUAGAUGGAAUUUCUGGUGUAGGGGUAAAAUCCGUAGAGAUCAGAAGGAAUACCGAUUGCGAAGGCGAUCUACUAGAACAUUAUUGACGCUGAGACGCGAAAGCGUGGGGAGCAAACAGGAUUAGAUACCCCAGUAGUC
Molecule: ribosomal RNA, 441 nt
Filed under: uncultured bacterium
Lineage: Bacteria
Description: partial 16S ribosomal RNA
Rfam family: Bacterial small subunit ribosomal RNA
Source: RNAcentral